Molecule: ribosomal RNA, 201 nt
Filed under: Triticum aestivum (bread wheat)
Lineage: Eukaryota; Viridiplantae; Streptophyta; Magnoliopsida; Poales; Poaceae
Description: partial small subunit ribosomal RNA
Source: RNAcentral
AUGGAUCAGGAUCCCCAGGAUGCCGACGCCGCCGCGGAUCCACUGCCACGCGCAGCUCGGGCCCGAGCCGCGACGGGCUCGGCUAUCGCCGCUGCCGCGUGCGCCCUUCGUCUCCAGGCUCGAAGAGCCCCGCCGCCAGCCACCCCCAACCCACAUCGGCGUCAAGCUAUCUCCUUGGUGUUGUUGUCCUCGAUAGGCUAA